ACUACUCAAGUCUCGGCAGAAAUUCACUACAUUGCCGAUAAAUGCGCAAAGUUUCACUAUAUUCCGUGCAAGUUCGAGGAGCAGUGGAGAUGAUGAUAACCUCUUGUUUCUUUUUUUCCUAAAAAGAAGGAAUGCUUUCUCUUACAAGGGCAAGUUUGAAAAGGUAAACACAAUCGGUUGGCCCUGGCUUGACCACAUCAAUCAACCUGACAAAAGUCAAUAAUAGAAGCUAAACAGUAGAGGCAUCAUCAAAGAGUGUGGCUCAUGUCACUGUCCUCCACGGCAUGUCCUUGUCGAUACUGGUACAGCCGGAAGCCAUCAAGGCUCUUCCCAGUCUACAGAUUGGCAGAUGGUCAUCAGCAUUCAGCACCUCUGGAAAAUUCUGCAGCAUUGAACAUUUGAUCAAGUCAAAAAGAAGACAGUGGACGUAUAGAUCAUAUAAGGAAUAGCAGGGCAUUGUUGAAAAGCAAGCACGCAUGACCAAGACUCCAAGAGUAUCCUCUCAAAGAAAAGAAAAUAGACUUAAGAGUAUCCGAAGCAACCAAAACUGGAAUCAGUAUGCUCACAGCAAUGGGGCUGGUGAGCUUGCUAUCAUCACUUGCUGCCAUCCUGAUGAUGGUCGUCGUG
RNAcentral lists this long non-coding RNA (627 nucleotides) under Brachypodium distachyon (stiff brome). RNAcentral describes it as "long non-coding RNA (BDIS_LNC001538)". The record is from RNAcentral. Lineage: Eukaryota; Viridiplantae; Streptophyta; Magnoliopsida; Poales; Poaceae.